CGGCAAUUCCGUUGUUCUUGCGACCACUCGCGUUCGGAAAGUGUUGGCGCGCAGCAAAAGCACACCCAAUCAAUUUAAUUCAUUCGGAAGUCGCAUCGCGCAUAGUGCAAACAUAAUGGAAAUUCGUCCUCAAGUAGCUGUACUUAGGAGACGUGAAUAUUUUUUACAAAAAAAUAAUAAAAGAAAAUAAUUUAAAAAGUAUAAAUAGUGUAAAUGGAAAAUUUCGUGUGGUUGGUGCUAUUUAUAAAGUGUUUGUUGUGAUCGGUGUGCACCAACAUCUGGCGUGUAUAUAUUGUCAAUGUGUUCACUCGUGUCGUGUUUUUGUGCACUCUUUUUAGUAUAAUUGCUUGUACCGAAGAUGUGACCUCGCACUUCACCAGUCAAGUGAUGGUUUAAAGGACUAUGGCUGAGCAGAUGCAAGCCAACAACCAUCGUGUUAUUGGCGAGGUAAAGCCGGGAUUGCUGAACGAGGUGCUAUUUAAAAUUACACUAUCAAGAUGGUCUUCAUAAGAAGCAGUCGUGGUCAUCAUAUGCUUUAUAAUCAGUUUUAACACGAAAUUUCAUGAAAUUUACGAAUGAUAUUUAUAAAUAUUAAGAUUCAAAUUGUUGAA
Bactrocera oleae (olive fruit fly) is the source of this 611-nucleotide non-coding RNA. NCBI's taxonomy places the organism in Eukaryota, Metazoa, Arthropoda, Insecta, Diptera, Tephritidae. The record is from RefSeq and is a predicted model, not a curated record.